Long non-coding RNA from Catharus ustulatus (Swainson's thrush), 942 nucleotides. RefSeq lists it as uncharacterized. NCBI's taxonomy places the organism in Eukaryota, Metazoa, Chordata, Aves, Passeriformes, Turdidae. The transcript is spliced from 3 exons. The record is from RefSeq and is a predicted model, not a curated record.
CGGUGGGGCCGGGGCGGGACGGAGCUGUGAUUACAACGAGGAGCAAAACCCGACGGACGUGCUCGGGAGCAGCCGUGCGGACCGAGCCACCUCUGAGUCAGUGCGCUGGGCGAAGGGCUGCGAUACUCACAGCGCCUCGGGUCGGCUGGGAGCCGCCUAAAGCCGGCGUCUUCCCGAGAGCAGUAGAGUAGAACCGUGGAAUAUCCCGAGCUGGAAGUGACCCACAAGGAUCAUCGGGUCCAACUCUUGGCCCUCCACGAACACGCCAACCAUCCCACCCCGUGCAUCCCUGGCAGCGCUGUCCAAUCGCUCUUGGAGCUCUGGCAGCCUCGGAGCCGUGCCUGUUCCCUGGGGAGCCUGGGCAGUGCCCAGCACCCUCUGGGAGAAGAACCUUUUUCUGAUAUCCGACCUAAACCUACCCGGGUACAGCUGCAGUCAUUCCCUUGGGUGCUAUCACUGGCCACAGAGUGCGGAGAUAAGAGCUGCCCCUCGGGAAGAAGCUGCAGACCCGUAAGAGUUCUCAUCUCCAUCUCUUCUCUAGCUGAACAAGCCCAGUACCCUCAGCCGCUCGUGUGGUUCAACACGGUCUUAGUGAAGAGCGCGGAGUUUCGGAGGCAGACUCCACAGCUGCCCAAGCCAAGCGGAUUUUCCGCGUUCCUGGCGCAGAUGCCGCUGGCACAGCAGGAACAGGGCGACCGAGGAGAACGACUUCCGCGUUCUUCGCUGCGGGGGCGCGCUCGGGCGGACACGGGCGGGGGUGAUACAAGAGUCACUAUAUAAAGAUUAAACAGUCAAGAGCCUUGAUGACUUCUGUGACCCUUGUUUUCUACUUCAGCUCUUCAGUGAAUUGACCAGACCAGAAUCAACUCGAAAAAGGGAAGAUGAAAUGAAAUGUACUGAGCAACCUAACAAGGAGGAGACAGAAAGGCACUACCACCUCUG